Molecule: ribosomal RNA, 253 nt
Filed under: uncultured bacterium
Lineage: Bacteria
Description: partial 16S ribosomal RNA
Rfam family: Bacterial small subunit ribosomal RNA
Source: RNAcentral
UACGGGGGGGGCAAGCGUUGUUCGGAAUUACUGGGCGUAAAGGGCUCGUAGGCGGCCAACUAAGUCAUACGUGAAAUCCCUCGGCUUAACCGGGGAACUGCGUCUGAUACUGGAUGGCUUGAGAUUGGGAGAGGGAUGCGGAAUUCCAGGUGUAGCGGUGAAAUGCGUAGAUAUCUGGAGGAACACCGGUGGCGAAGGCGGCAUCCUGGACCAACACUGACGCUGAGGAGCGAAAGCGUGGGGAGCAAACAGG